GCAAGUCGAACGGUAACAGAUCCAGCUUGCUGGAUGCUGACGAGUGGCGCACGGGUGCGUAACGCGUAUGCAAUCUACCUCUAACUGGGGAAUAGCCCGGAGAAAUUCGGAUUAAUACCCCAUAGUAUCUCAAUUUUGCAUGAUCUUGAGAUUAAAACUUCGGUGGUUAGAGAUGAGCAUGCGUCCCAUUAGCUAGUUGGUAAGGUAACGGCUUACCAAGGCUGCGAUGGGUAGGGGGCCUGAGAGGGUGAUCCCCCACACUGGUACUGAGACACGGACCAGACUCCUACGGGAGGCAGCAGUGAGGAAUAUUGGUCAAUGGAGGAAACUCUGAACCAGCCAUCCCGCGUGCAGGAUUGACGGCCCUACGGGUUGUAAACUGCUUUUAUAUAGGAAGAAACCCACGCUCGUGAGCGUGGCUGACGGUACUAUACGAAUAAGCACCGGCUAACUCCGUGCCAGCAGCCGCGGUAAUACGGAGGGUACAAGCGUUAUCCGGAUUCAUUGGGUUUAAAGGGUGCGUAGGCGGGAUGCUAAGUCAGUGGUGAAAGCCUGCGGCUUAACCGUAGAAUUGCCAUUGAUACUGGUGUCCUUGAGUGUAGUUGAAGUAGGCGGAAUGUGACAUGUAGCGGUGAAAUGCAUAGAUAUGUCACAGAACACCGAUUGCGAAGGCAGCUUACUAAACUACUACUGACGCUGAGGCACGAAAGCGUAGGGAGCGAACAGGAUUAGAUACCCUGGUAGUCUACGCUGUAAACGAUGAUUACUUGAUGCUGGCGAUAUACUGUCAGUGUCUAAGCGAAGGUGUUAAGUAAUCCACCUGGGGAGUACGAUCGCAAGGUUGAAACUCAAAGGAAUUGACGGGGGCCCGCACAAGCGGUGGAGCAUGUGGUUUAAUUCGAUGAUACGCGAGGAACCUUACCA
Molecule: ribosomal RNA, 924 nt
Filed under: uncultured marine bacterium
Lineage: Bacteria
Description: bacterial SSU rRNA
Rfam family: Bacterial small subunit ribosomal RNA
Source: RNAcentral